UGAGGAAUAUUGGUCAAUGGACGAGAGUCUGAACCAGCCAAGUCGCGUGAGGGAAGACUGCCCUAUGGGUUGUAAACCUCUUUUAUAAGGGAAGAAUAAGUUCUACGUGUAGAAUGAUGCCUGUACCUUAUGAAUAAGCAUCGGCUAACUCCGUGCCAGCAGCCGCGGUAAUACGGAGGAUGCGAGCGUUAUCCGGAUUUAUUGGGUUUAAAGGGUGCGUAGGCGGUUUAUUAAGUUAGUGGUUAAAUAUUUGAGCUAAACUCAAUUGUGCCAUUAAUACUGGUAAACUGGAGUACAGACGAGGUAGGCGGAAUAAGUUAAGUAGCGGUGAAAUGCAUAGAUAUAACUUAGAACUCCGAUAGCGAAGGCAGCUUACCAGACUGUAACUGACGCUGAUGCACGAGAGCGUGGGUAGCGAACAGG
This 423-nucleotide ribosomal RNA is filed under the name uncultured Odoribacter sp. Its description in RNAcentral is "bacterial SSU rRNA". It matches the Rfam family "Bacterial small subunit ribosomal RNA", at positions 355 to 776 of the family's 1533-position model. Lineage: Bacteria; Pseudomonadati; Bacteroidota; Bacteroidia; Bacteroidales; Odoribacteraceae. The record is from RNAcentral.